GACGAACGCUGGCGGCGUGCUUAACACAUGCAAGUCGAACGGUAAGGCCCUUCGGGGUACACGAGUGGCGAACGGGUGAGUAACACGUGGGUGAUCUGCCCUGCACUUCGGGAUAAGCCUGGGAAACUGGGUCUAAUACCGGAUAGGACUCCUGGCUUCAUGGUUGGGGGUGGAAAGCUUUUGCGGUGUGGGAUGGGCCCGCGGCCUAUCAGCUUGUUGGUGGGGUAAUGGCCUACCAAGGCGACGACGGGUAGCCGGCCUGAGAGGGUGACCGGUACAACGGGAAUGGGGUACCGCCCCGGACUCGAACGGGAGGAGGCGUGGGGGAUAUUUGACCAAUGGGGCAAGGCUGGAUCCGCCGAGGCGCGUGGAGGAUGACGGCCUUCGGGUUGUAAACCUCUUUCAGCACCGACGAAGCGCAAGUGACGGUAGGUGCAGUAGAAGGACCGGCCAACUACGUGCCAGCAGCCGCAGUAA
Molecule: ribosomal RNA, 477 nt
Filed under: uncultured bacterium
Lineage: Bacteria
Description: partial 16S ribosomal RNA
Rfam family: Bacterial small subunit ribosomal RNA
Source: RNAcentral